This 775-nucleotide ribosomal RNA is filed under the name uncultured Bacillota bacterium. RNAcentral describes it as "bacterial SSU rRNA". It matches the Rfam family "Bacterial small subunit ribosomal RNA", at positions 43 to 784 of the family's 1533-position model. Lineage: Bacteria; Bacillati; Bacillota. The record is from RNAcentral.
UUUGACUCAUAAAAGCACUACGAACGAAACUUCUUUAUCACCGAGUGCUUGCACUCACCGAUAAAGAGUUGAGUGGCGAACGGGUGAGUAACACGUGGGCAACCUGCCCGAAAGAGGGGGAUAACACUUGGAAACAGGUGCUAAUACCGCAUAACCAUGAAUACCGCAUGGUAUUUAUGUGAAAGGUGGUUUCGGCUACCGCUUUCGGAUGGGCCCGCGGCGCAUUAGCUAGUCGGUGGGGUAAAGGCUUACCAAGGCAAUGAUGCGUAGCCGAACUGAGAGGUUGAUCGGCCACAUUGGGACUGAGACACGGCCCAAACUCCUACGGGAGGCAGCAGUAGGGAAUCUUCCACAAUGGGCGAAAGCCUGAUGGAGCAACGCCGCGUGGGUGAAGAAGGUCUUCGGAUCGUAAAACCCUGUUGUCAGAGAAGAAAGUGCAUGAGAGUAACUGUUCAUGUUUCGACGGUAUCUGACCAGAAAGCCACGGCUAACUACGUGCCAGCAGCCGCGGUAAUACGUAGGUGGCAAGCGUUAUCCGGAUUUAUUGGGCGUAAAGGGAACGCAGGCGGUCUUUUAAGUCUGAUGUGAAAGCCUUCGGCUUAACCGGAGUAGUGCAUUGGAAACUGGGAGACUUGAGUGCAGAAGAGGAGAGUGGAACUCCAUGUGUAGCGGUGAAAUGCGUAGAUAUAUGGAAGAACACCAGUGGCGAAAGCGGCUCUCUGGUCUGUAACUGACGCUGAGGCUCGAAAGCGUGGGUAGCAAACAGGAUUAGAUA